This is a long non-coding RNA of Erinaceus europaeus (western European hedgehog), 2142 nucleotides long. RefSeq lists it as uncharacterized. NCBI's taxonomy places the organism in Eukaryota, Metazoa, Chordata, Mammalia, Eulipotyphla, Erinaceidae. The transcript is spliced from 3 exons. The record is from RefSeq and is a predicted model, not a curated record.
CAUACCUGAGACACAAGAGCGAGCCAAUGAGCAGUUUGUUUUCAAAUGUUUAGAGAGUGAGUCACUGUCAUGAAGGAGACUGGUAGGCUUUUUGCAGAUGGCCUGUUUGUUCCUUCUGUAAAUAUGCCCUUCCUGUUGCUUUCACCCCAGUCACACCACCAUCAUUUCAUUUCAUUAUGCAAGUGACUGACUGUCUUCACUAUUUUCUGAGAAGCACCAAAUGUUAGGGACAUGGACUGAAGAUGAGUGAAAAAUAAGGCCUAAUCAUGAAUUUGCCAACAGAUGUGGUGAAGGGCUGUUCUGUGCCUUCGAGGAUGUUUAGAGGCACUUCACUAGAUGUCAGCGACGCAUACACACACAGACACACCAGUUGUGACAACCAAAAAUAUCUCCAAGACAUGACCAAAGGUUCCCUAAGUGCAGAUGGGCCCCAGUGACAAUCAUCCAGAAUGUAAGCCAACCCACCUCCCUGUGACUUCUUACUCACUAAAGAUUAUGAUACCUUGGUGGGGAUAGAUAGCAUAAUGGUUAUGCAAAGAGAUUCUCAUGCCUGAAGCUUCAAAGUCCCAGGUUCUGUCUCCCAUACCACCAUAAACCAGAGCUGAACAAAGCACUGGUUAAAAAAAAAAAAAAAAAAGAUUAUGAUACCUUAAUCGCUUCCCCUUACUAUUGCUUGUGACUUUUUUUUUAAACAUUUUUUUAAUUAUCUUUACCUAUUUAUUUAUUGGGUAGAAACAGCCAGAAAUUGAGAGGGAAAGGGGUGAGAAAGAAGAGAGAGACACCUGCAGCACUGCUUCACCACUCGCAAAGCUUUCCCCCUGCAGGUGGGGACCAGGGGCUUGAACAUGAUAACACGUGCAUUCAACAAGGUGCGCCACCACCAGGCCCCGACUUUCUUAACGACUUGAUUUCCAACACCUUUCCCCUUCUGUUCCCUAACUUCCUUGCACCUGCAGUGGGCAGGUUUUCCACUUUGCAGCUAGCUCUCCUGAUCUGAUGAGGUUUUGAUGUUGAUGCCAACAAAAACCUGACAUUUCUGAAAUCUUGGUUUUAAGUCUCUUUUCCUUUACUAAUUAACCUACAGUUUUUCUGCUCUGAAGUUCUUCAACCCAUUGAGAUUCCAGUCUUUUUGACUUGAUUUGAUAGGACACAGAGAAGUUGAGAAGAUAGAGAAGGAGAGAAAAAGAGUGACAUCUACAGCACUCCUUCACCACUCAGGACAGAGAGAAAUGGAGAGAAGAGGGGAAGACAGGAGGAGAGAAAGACACCUGUAGACCUGCUUCACUCCUUCUGAUGUGACCACCCCCAGCCACCAAGCUGCAGAUGCUGCCAGGAUGACAACCUGACUUCCCCAGAGAGAUGACCUCAUCAAAGUAUCCUGGAAGCCCACCUCUCCAGAGCCCUGGCCCACUAGGGGAUGAGAGAGACAGGCUGGGUGGAUGGAUCAACCUGCCCACGCCCAUGUUCAGUGGGGUAGCAAUUACAGACGCCAAACCUUCCACCUUCUGCACCCCAUAAUGACCCUGGGUCCAUGAUCCCAGAGGGAUAAAGAAUAGGGAAGCUUUCAAGGGAGGGGAUGGGAUACGGAAUUCUGGUGGUGGGAACUAUGUGGAACUGUACCCCUCUUAGCCCAUAAUCUUGUCAAUAUUUUUUAUUUUGUAUUGUUUUUUAAUUUUAUUUAUUUUAUUUAUUCCCUUUUGUUGCCCUUGUUUUUUUUUUAUUGUUGUAGUUAUUAUUGUUGUCAUUGUUGGAUAGGACAGAGAGAAAUGGAGAGAGGAGGGGAAGACAGAGAGGAGGAGAGAAAGAUAGACACCUGCAGACCUGCUUCACCGCCUGUGAAGCGACUCCCCUGCAGGUGGGGAGCCGGGGUUCGAACCGGGAUCCUUAUGCCGGUCCUUGUGCUUUGCGCCACCUGCGCUUAACCCGCUGCGCUACAGCCCGACUCCCUUAUUUUGUAUUUUAUAAAUAUUUUUUUAAAAAAAAGAAGUGAUGGAAUAUAUAUCCCAUGGAAUAAUAUUCUUCAAUAAAAAAAGAGGAUAUUGUGUCCUUUUGGACAAAAUGGAUAGAACUAGAAAUGAUUAUUCUUAGCAAAAUAAGAGAUGAAAAACCAGAUGGUUUCACUCAUAUGUGGAAUAUAGAGAA